Molecule: ribosomal RNA, 120 nt
Filed under: Helianthus annuus (common sunflower)
Lineage: Eukaryota; Viridiplantae; Streptophyta; Magnoliopsida; Asterales; Asteraceae
Source: RNAcentral
GGUUGCGAUCAUACCAGCACUAAUGCACCGGAUCCCAUCAGAACUCCGCAGUUAAGCGUGCUUGGGCGAGAGUAGUACUAGGAUGGUGACCCCCUGGGAAGUCCUCGUGUUGCAACCCCG